GGGAGUGCUACCGGGCGACCGGAUGCGGAUCUCGAAAGCCUGUCCCAGUUCGGACUGGCGUCUGCAACCCGACUCCACGAAGUUGGAUUCGCUAGUAAUCGCGCAUCAGCCAUGGCGCGGUGAAUACGUUCCCGGGCCUUGUACACACCGCCCGUCAAGCCAUGGGAGCCGGGGGCGCCUGAAGUCCGGGACCGCGAGGACCGGCCUAGGGCGAAACUGGUAACUGGGGCUAAGUCGUAACAAGGUAUC
Molecule: ribosomal RNA, 249 nt
Filed under: uncultured bacterium
Lineage: Bacteria
Description: partial 16S ribosomal RNA
Rfam family: Bacterial small subunit ribosomal RNA
Source: RNAcentral